GUGACCAUCAGUCAUCUCUCUAUCCAAGUCACAAUGUAUAUAUAUACACUUAACAACUAUAAGUCAAGUAUGACCUUCAAUACAAAACUUUGGCUCACACCGAACAGCAGGCUAUUAAGGACACCGAAAUGAUACGGGUAAAACAAUUCAAACAGGAUCACCAACGGUAAAAUCUUUAUGAAAAAGAGAAACACAUCUGGACCACACCAAC
RNAcentral lists this long non-coding RNA (211 nucleotides) under Mytilus galloprovincialis (Mediterranean mussel). The record is from RNAcentral. Lineage: Eukaryota; Metazoa; Mollusca; Bivalvia; Mytilida; Mytilidae.